RNAcentral lists this unclassified non-coding RNA (432 nucleotides) under soil metagenome. Its description in RNAcentral is "partial contains 5.8S ribosomal RNA, internal transcribed spacer 2, and large subunit ribosomal RNA". The stretch from base 1 to 120 matches the Rfam family "5.8S ribosomal RNA", at positions 35 to 154 of the family's 154-position model. The record is from RNAcentral.
GAUGAAGAACGUAGUGAAAUGCGAUACGUAAUGUGAAUUGCAGAAUUCAGUGAAUCAUCGAAUCUUUGAACGCAUAUUGCGCUCUCUGGUAUUCCGGAGAGCAUGCUUGUUUGAGUAUCAGUAAACACCUCAACUUCCAUAUCUUUUUUGAAAUGGGAGUUGGACUUGAGUGAUCCCAACGCUUUUCCUCACCGAAAAGUGGCGGGUUACUUGAAAUGCAGGUGCAGCUGGACUUUUCUCUGAGCUAUAAGCAUAUCUAUUUAGUCUGCCUAAAAAACAGAUUAUUACCUUUGCUGCAGCUAACAUAAAGGAGAUUAGUUCUUGUGCUGACUGAUGCAGGAUUCACAAAGACGGCUUCGGCCGACUUUGUAAACUCGAUCUCAAAUCAAGUAAGACUACCCGCUGAACUUAAGCAUAUCAAUAGGCGGAGGA